Molecule: ribosomal RNA, 465 nt
Filed under: Vreelandella stevensii
Lineage: Bacteria; Pseudomonadati; Pseudomonadota; Gammaproteobacteria; Oceanospirillales; Halomonadaceae
Description: partial 16S ribosomal RNA
Rfam family: Bacterial small subunit ribosomal RNA
Source: RNAcentral
CCUACGGGGGGCAGCAGUGGGGAAUAUUGGACAAUGGGGGGAACCCUGAUCCAGCCAUGCCGCGUGUGUGAAGAAGGCCCUCGGGUUGUAAAGCACUUUCAGUGAGGAAGAACGCCUGGUGGUUAAUACCCAUCAGGAAAGACAUCACUCACAGAAGAAGCACCGGCUAACUCCAUGCCAGCAGCCGCGGUAAUACGGAGGGUGCGAGCGUUAAUCGGAAUUACUGGGCGUAAAGCGCGCGUAGGUGGCUUGAUAAGCCGGUUGUGAAAGCCCCGGGCUCAACCUGGGAACGGCAUCCGGAACUGUCAAGCUAGAGUGCAGGAGAGGAAGGUAGAAUUCCCGGUGUAGCGGUGAAAUGCGUAGAGAUCGGGAGGAAUACCAGUGGCGAAGGCGGCCUUCUGGACUGACACUGACACUGAGGUGCGAAAGCGUGGGUAGCAAACAGGAUUAGAUACCCUUGUAGUC